UACGUAGGGUGCGAGCGUUGCCCGGAUUUAUUGGGCGUAAAGGGCGCGUAGGCGGCCACGCACGUCCGUUGUGAAAUCGCCCGGCUCAACUGGGCGGGGUCAGCGGAUACGGUGUGGCUCGAGCAAGCUAGGGGGCAAUGGAAUUCCCGGUGUAGAGGUGAAAUUCGUAGAUAUUCGGAGGAACACCAGUGGCGAAGGCGGCUCACUGGUCCGGUACUGACGCUGAGGUGCGAAAGCGUGGGGAGCAAACAGG
RNAcentral lists this ribosomal RNA (253 nucleotides) under uncultured bacterium. RNAcentral's name for it is "partial 16S ribosomal RNA". It matches the Rfam family "Bacterial small subunit ribosomal RNA", at positions 524 to 776 of the family's 1533-position model. The record is from RNAcentral.